GAUGAACGCUGGCGGCGUGCCUAAUACAUGCAAGUCGAGCGAACAGACGAGGAGCUUGCUCCUCUGACGUUAGCGACGGACGGGUGAGUAACACGUGGAUAACCUACCUAUAAGACUGGGAUAACUUCGGGAAACCGGAGCUAAUACCGGAUAAUAUAUUGAACCGCAUGGUUCAAUAGUGAAAGACGGUUUUGCUGUUACUUAUAGAUGGAUCCGCGCCGCAUUAGCUAGUUGGUAAGGUAACGGCUUACCAAGGCAACGAUGCGUAGCCGACCUGAGAGGGUGAUCGGCCACACUGGAACUGAGACACGGUCCAGACUCCUACGGGAGGCAGCAGUAGGGAAUCUUCCGCAAUGGGCGAAAGCCUGACGGAGCAACGCCGCGUGAGUGAUGAAGGUCUUCGGAUCGUAAAACUCUGUUAUUAGGGAAGAACAAAUGUGUAAGUAACUAUGCACGUCUUGACGGUACCUAAUCAGAAAGCCACGGCUAACUACGUG
This 497-nucleotide ribosomal RNA is filed under the name uncultured bacterium. RNAcentral's name for it is "partial 16S ribosomal RNA". It matches the Rfam family "Bacterial small subunit ribosomal RNA", at positions 28 to 507 of the family's 1533-position model. The record is from RNAcentral.